RNAcentral lists this small RNA (109 nucleotides) under Spisula solidissima (Atlantic surf clam). Lineage: Eukaryota; Metazoa; Mollusca; Bivalvia; Venerida; Mactridae. The record is from RNAcentral.
CUUCCUCGUUUCGAGCAUCAUACCGUCUACAAUCUGAGAAUACAGAGAGACAGCACUAAUCUCGGCCUUUCAUGUCUUCUUCUCUACUUCCUCGUUUCGAGCAUCGUAC